Molecule: ribosomal RNA, 343 nt
Filed under: uncultured bacterium
Lineage: Bacteria
Description: bacterial SSU rRNA
Rfam family: Bacterial small subunit ribosomal RNA
Source: RNAcentral
GAGUUUGAUCCUGGCUCAGAUUGAACGCUGGCGGCAUGCUUUACACAUGCAAGUCGAACGGUAACGCGGGGGCAACCCUGGCGACGAGUGGCGAACGGGUGAGUAAUACAUCGGAACGUGCCCGGGGGUGGGGGAUAACCUCGAGAAAUCGAGGCUAAUACCGCAUACGUCCUGAGGGAGAAAGCGGGGGACCGGUAACGGCCUCGCGCCCAUGGAGCGGCCGAUGUCCGAUUAGCUAGUAGGUAGGGUAAAGGCCUACCUAGGCGACGAUCGGUAGCUGGUCUGAGAGGAUGAUCAGCCACACUGGGACUGAGACACGGCCCAGACACCUACGGGUGGCAGC